Molecule: small nucleolar RNA, 196 nt
Organism: Papio anubis (olive baboon)
Lineage: Eukaryota; Metazoa; Chordata; Mammalia; Primates; Cercopithecidae
Gene: U3
Rfam family: Small nucleolar RNA U3
About the family: Small nucleolar RNAs (snoRNAs) are involved in the processing and modification of rRNA in the nucleolus. There are two main classes of snoRNAs: the box C/D class, and the box H/ACA class. U3 snoRNA is a member of the box C/D class.
Source: Ensembl
AAGACUAUAUCUAUAGGUCAUUUCUAGAGAAGCUUCUCUGAACGUUUAGGGCAUAGGAAACCACGAGGAGGAGGCACAGCAUUCUCUCCUGAGCGUGGAAUUGGUGUGUUGCUUCACUGCAACUGGCUGUUCAUUUGCUAUUGGUGAUCAUUCCUCUCUUCCUUUGGGAGGGGAAUAGGGAGAGGACACAGUCAAG